Molecule: long non-coding RNA, 1320 nt
Filed under: Capsicum annuum
Lineage: Eukaryota; Viridiplantae; Streptophyta; Magnoliopsida; Solanales; Solanaceae
Description: long non-coding RNA (CANN_LNC007692)
Source: RNAcentral
UUGACCCGAAUACCACGGUCAUAAAAAAAAUGUAUUUAUAACAAGUUAAUGCACAUCAUAAUAGUGUGUGUAAUGGUACUCUACAUCCACUAGCUUAGUGUUCUUACUCUUGGUCAAUGUGCAUAUUUGUACUCAACACUAAAAAGGAAAAAGGGCAAGCUUUGUUUUCUUUGUACUCCUUGACGUUGUUGUUAACAACUUAGAAUUACCUCCCAUUUAUGGUUCUUGGUUUAGAAAAAUUGCUUCUUUUUUACUGUAAUUUGUUAGCUAUAAUGGAGUUGUUUCACUAAUUGGGAACUAAAAAAAGAUCCAAUUUUGAUAAGAAUCUACAUAUUUAUACCAAUAUUUUGCUUCAGUUAUCGUAUUAUUUUACCACUGCUACUAUUCUUUUCAGCAUGGCUUCUUCGACUAUGUUCUUUCCCUUCUUGACAUUGUUGUUAAGAACUUAGAUUACCUUCUGUAUCUAGUUCUUGGUUCCGAAAAGAUUGAUUCUUUCUCACUGUACAUUGUCAGCUAUAAAUUAUUUGGAGUUCUUUCGCGAAUUAAGUAGUAGAAAAAGAUUCAAUUUUGAUAAAUCUAUGUAUUUAUACCAAGUUAAGGACCAUCAUCAUUGUGUGUGUAUGGUACUCGACAUCCACCGUUGAGGUAGGGGUAAAGUCUGGGCAUACUUUCUAUCCUCCCUAGAACACACUUUGUGGAACUACACUGUGUAUGUAUGUUUGAGCUAGUAACUACACUGUGUAUGUAUGUUUGAGCUAGUCUGACUACUAUGUCGUCAAUGUACUUACUGCCAUGGAGAUCAAAAUAUUUGACAGUGGCAGUACCAUUGAACAGCCACUGUCAAUACAACAACAACAAACCCAGUGAAUUCCCACCAAGUGGGGUCUGGGGAAGGUAAAAUGUACGCAGUUCAUACUGCUACUUCCGAAAAAGUAGAGAGGCUGUUUCCGAUAGACCCCCGGCUCAAGAUAAAGAAUAGUUAACAAGGUCAUAGUAAUAUCUGAGAACAGCCACUGUCAAUAUGCAAAAGAUUUGAGUUCAACUUCCUUCUGCUAAAGUUCAUAGUCCAAAUUUUUGUUUACCUCAAUGAAGUUGAGGGCAUGUAUGUCCCCUGGUUUGAUUAGACUGUUGACUAAGACAUUCAUGUUUCCAGUUGCACUUAAUCACGUUGCAUGAACUUGGUGUUGACAAGGUGAUGAUGUGACGAUGAUAACAUGGUGCUGACUAACAAUGACACUGUGUUAAUUGGGGAAGGUGAAUGCUAACUUGAUAUUAUAGGUGAUAUAGAUUGAUGUUAUCGAUUUGAGAAAAAAUGUGGAC